CCUACGGGCGGCAGCAGUGAGGAAUAUUGGUCAAUGGGCGCAAGCCUGAACCAGCCAAGUCGCGUGCGGGAUGACGGUCCUAUGGAUUGUAAACCUCUUUUGUCGGGGAGCAAGGCCCGCCACGUGUGGCGGGAAGGAGAGUACCUGCAGAAAAAGCAUCGGCUAACUCUGUGCCAGCAGCCGCGGUAAUACGGAGGAUGCGAGGUUUAUCCGGAUUUAUUGGGUUUAAGGGGUGCGUAGGCGGCUGGUUAAGUCAGCGGUAAAAUAUCGGUUCUCAAAACCGGCCUGCCUUUGAUACUGGUGAACUAGAGUGAGCGAGAGGUAUGCGGAAUGCGAGGUGUAGCGGUGAAAUGCGUAGAUAUCACGCAGAACUCCGAAUGCGAAGGCAGCAUACCGGCGCUCAACUGACGCUGAGGCACGAAAGCGUGGGGAGCGAACAGGAUUAGAUACCCGUGUAGUC
RNAcentral lists this ribosomal RNA (460 nucleotides) under uncultured bacterium. RNAcentral's name for it is "partial 16S ribosomal RNA". It matches the Rfam family "Bacterial small subunit ribosomal RNA", at positions 338 to 795 of the family's 1533-position model. The record is from RNAcentral.